This 450-nucleotide ribosomal RNA is filed under the name uncultured bacterium. RNAcentral describes it as "bacterial SSU rRNA". It matches the Rfam family "Bacterial small subunit ribosomal RNA", at positions 328 to 794 of the family's 1533-position model. The record is from RNAcentral.
CUGCCAGACUCCUACGGGAGGCAGCAGUGGGGGAUAUUGCACAAUGGGGGGAACCCUGAUGCAGCGACGCCGCGUGGGUGAAGGAGCGUUUCGGCGCGUAAAGCCCUAUCGGCAGGGAAGAAGGAGGACGGUACCUGACUAAGAAGCCCCGGCUAACUACGUGCCAGCAGCCGCGGUAAUACGUAGGGGGCAAGCGUUAUCCGGAUUUACUGGGUGUAAAGGGGGCGCAGACGGCAGCGCAAGCCAGGAGUGAAAGCCCGGGGCCCAACCCCGGGACUGCUCUUGGAACUGCGCGGCUGGAGUGGGCGAGAAGUGCGCGGAAUGCGUGGUGUAGCGGUGAAAUGCAUAGAUAUCACGCAGAACUCCGAUUGCGAAGGCAGCGCACCGGCGCCCUACUGACGCUCAGGCACGAAAGCGUGGGUAUCGAACAGGAUUAGAUACCCUCGUAGA